Molecule: unclassified non-coding RNA, 515 nt
Filed under: Hevea brasiliensis (rubber tree)
Lineage: Eukaryota; Viridiplantae; Streptophyta; Magnoliopsida; Malpighiales; Euphorbiaceae
Source: RNAcentral
GACGUUAGGGUUUCGGAAAUCACGAAAGGACGGAGGAGCAAGCAGAGGGUCAGAAUCAGCUGGCGCCGCCACCAUCGGCCGCGAUAGAAGGUGGUGACUGUCGGCGAGUGAUGACAUAGCGCUCCGAUGAUGGGAAAAGGAUUUGGUCCCGUUGCUGUUAUUAGAAGGGUCGUCGAGGACGAGGCUCUCCAUUUCUUCACGGGAAGCGUCGAUAUGGGCUUCUUCAAAGCCCUGGUUCUCCGAUCCCAUCAUAUUUGUUCCGAUUGAUCUAAAAAUUUACAAAAAUAAAAAUAAAUUAUAGUACAGCUGCUAAACUGUGAUCAAUAGUCGAAGCUGGACAUUAGGGUUCUGACAGAGAGUGAAGUAGGGACUAGGUAAGAUGGGAGCGUGGGUUAACGUGCGCCGGGGGGAGCUAGGUGGAAGAAGACUAUCGUGAAGCAUGAGGUGCACGCGGCAGUUACGAAAGGAUUUGGGUUUUCCUUCUGGGUUCUCGAGCCUUUUGUUGGAGUGGGGAG